This 253-nucleotide ribosomal RNA is filed under the name uncultured bacterium. Its description in RNAcentral is "partial 16S ribosomal RNA". It matches the Rfam family "Bacterial small subunit ribosomal RNA", at positions 524 to 776 of the family's 1533-position model. The record is from RNAcentral.
UACGUAGGGACCAAGCGUUGUUCGGAUUUACUGGGCGUAAAGGGCGCGUAGGCGGCUUGGCAAGUGGAAGGUGAAAUCCCUCGGCUUAACCGAGGAACUGCCCUCCAAACUGCUUUGCUUGAGGCCGGGAGAGGUGAGUGGAAUUCCGGGUGUAGUGGUGAAAUGCGUAGAUAUCCGGAGGAACACCAGUGGCGAAGGCGGCCUUCUGGGAUGCUCCUGACGCUCAGACACGAAAGCUAGGGGAGCGAACGGG